GUAUUGGAGUACUUUUUCCUCAUUCCAAUUCAAGAACUCAAUAGAGUCCUUUAUCAUUAGUGCUUUUGCAAGCCACGCUCGCAUGCCAUUCUUAUCUUUAGUUUCGUCUGUAACUUUCUAUCGGUACAUACGGAUAGGGGUACCGCCUGCUAGGGUGUCCGGACGCGAUGGUGUCAGGCUCCGGCGUGUGCGCCAAGUGCAUCGUGGUGGAUGCGCACCACCACAUGCUUGGCCGCCUAUCCUCCAUCAUCACCACCUCCAUCAUCGCCAAGAAGCUGCUCAACGGCUAAAAGGCCAUUGUAGUGCACUACGAGGAGAUUUGCCUCUCCGGGGAACCAGCCCGUCAGGAAGUCAUCUGACAGACUGUCCACCUUGGUGGACAGAGGGUUUUCCAAACCCGCACCCUGGUGAUGAUGAUGACGGCAGAAGCAGCAGCGGGACAAGGCCCAGGAACUCGGCUAGAAUAUGCCUGGAUGGAGCCCACGGUGGAAAUAUUGUAUCGAGCUUCCAAGAGGAAAUCUUAUCCAUAUUCUCAUGGUGUCGAGCAAACGAAUUUGUCAUGGAUGUAUCGAGUAUCUUUGGGCCAGGUGUCGAGGUUGUCACAACACCACCUAGUGGUACUUUCUAUUUAGAGCUCGAGUACAGUGAAAGAUGCCUGCAGUGGUGAUCAAUGGGAAAAAUUUGUACGUGAGGGGGUGGAGGAGCCUAAAUAGAUCUUUUGAAAUCAAAGAGAAAAGCACCACGGCGCCCAAAGAGCAGGAAGAAGUCUGAGAAACCGAUGAGGAACUACAUGCUCGGGUAAGAUGUGAGGCCUGUAUACUGUGGGUUUAACUACGGGGAUUUGGCUUCAAAUGGAAAGCUCUGUGAUAUCAUGAUGGGUAUUUAUGAGUUCAGAAGAGUUUUGGAUGCUUUGUUUGAGUACGAUAAGGGGGAAGCCCGGGAAGCAAUAUCAGAGAAGAUGUAGGAAAGAUUGCAGUAUUCAUAAGCGAGGCCACCCGAUUCCUCUUCAUUGAGUACACAACAUGCAUUUCAUUCAGUAUCAGUGAUAACAGUGUGAGUAGACUGAAUCAAGCAUAGCAUGAUGUUCAGUGGUUGGAACGAUUGCAACCACCUUUGCAACCACUGAACAUUGCAAAACCACUUAACGAUUACUGUGCUUGACUCAGUCUACUCACACUGCUAUCAGUGAUACUGAAUGAAAUGCAUGUUGUGUCCUCAAUAAAGAGGAACCAGGUGACCUCGUUUAUGAAUACUGCAAUCUUUCCUACAGCUUCCCUGAUAUUGCUUCCCGGGUUUCCCCAUUGUAUUCAAACAAAGCAUACAAAGCUCUGCUGAACUUAUAAAUACCCAUCAUGGUAUCACAGAGCUUUUCAUUUGGGGCCAGAUCCCCGUAGUUAAACCCACAGUAUACAGGCUUCACAUCUUACCCGAGCAUGUAGUUCCUCAUCGGUUUGUCAGACUUCUUCCUGCUCUUUGGGCGCCGUGGUGCUUUUCUCUUUGAUUUCAAAAGAUCUAUUUAGGCUCCUCCACCCCCUCACGUACAAAUUUUCCCCAUUGAUCACCAUUGCAGGCAUCUUUCACUGUGCUCGAGCUUUAAAUGGAAAAUACCACUAGGUGGUGUUGUGACAACCUCCACACCUGACCCAAAGAUACUCGGUACAUCCAUAACAAAUCCGUUUGCUCGACACCAUAAGAAUAUGGAUAAGAUUCCCUCUUGGAAGCUCGGUUCAACAUCCCCACCUUAGGCUCCAUCCAGCCAUAUUCUAGCCAAGUUCCUGAACCUUAUCCCUUAUCCCGCUGCUGCUUCUGCUGUCAUUAUCGUCACUACCCUUCUGUGUCUUCUUCCGUGAUGGCUUCAUUUCCUGAGAGGAGGGUCAUUUUUUUGAAUUAAGAACACAUGCAAUUCAAUGAUAAAGGAUCAUAAAUCAAAUACUAACUACUGUAAUAACAGAAGCAUUAAAUUUCCUGAGAUUAACAUCAUAUAUGAGGAAUUCAAUUGGAUAAAGUAUGCACAAGUAUGCACCAUUAUAAAGUAAACGGCCACCAAAUUAACAGCAAGCAAUUCACUAUAAAUGAGCGUCAAGUUGAUAGAGAUGCAGUAACAAGCUUGUAAUAAUCAGCCUCCCCUGAUUCCUCAGAAUGAUCCAAACACAAACAAAAGCAUUUACAUGCAGUGGGGAGUACUUGUAUAGAUACAUGAACAUAAAUCGAUCUUUUCGAAAAUAAAUUGGACGGACGAAUGGCGAUUCAGCCGGAGCCAAACGCUUUCAAUUACUAACAUGCAUCUACAGUCAGGAACCAACCGGGACAGAUUAUACUGCAUAACGCAUCUUCAGGAAACAAGCGCAUCAACUAAACACAGGGGAAGCAAGCAUUGAUACUGAAUAACGUAACCAAAUGCAUCAUGCGUCAACUAAAAUAGGGGAAUAAUGCAAGUACUCGCAAUAAUACUCCAUCCAAAAGGCAAACGCAAUCGCAAAACACAUCGCAUGUAUGAGACAAGGGAGGGCACAUAUGUUUCCUAAGAAAUCGAGCGGGGGAAACUGCGAUUCGAUUCGGCCGGAGCCAACCGCUAGCUUUCCCAGACCAACCAUCGCGGUUAAUUUCGCGUCUACAAGCAGGAACCGACUGCGAGACUUUACAAGCAAGCAAGUAAUAAUGCAGAAAAAGCCGACUCUGAUCAAACCAUAAUGAUGAACAAAGCAACCUAUCUACGUGCAAUUCAAUUCACCCAGAUAAAUCAAUCCAUAAAGAGACCAGCAAUAAGGAAUAAGGAUCGCGAAUCGCAUGAUUCGGACGCCAUGUAUCAGAUAGGAAAACGUGACUCUGGAUCAAACCAUAACGAUGAAUGAAGGGGCCUAGCUAGAGGCAAUUCACGCAGGCAAUCCAUCAAGAGGAAUAACGUAGCCAGGAUUGGGAAUCGCAUGUAUCAGGCAGAGGGGUUUCGAAUUGCGUCUGUUUCGUCUAGGGUUUAGACCUUCUUCGCAUUACAGUCCCAGAUAACAUAACCAUAUAUGAAAUUUCACUAGUUGUUGGCAUGACAGAGUCAGAUAACAUACGGUGAAGUUAAUUUAAAGUUCAAGCAACACAUUAUAUUACAGAACGACACACAACAUCCCAGAUAAUAUGAAGUUAAACCUAGAACAAACUAAUUAAUGGAGGAUGGUCAAUCGAAGAUGCAUGCCUACACACUAAUGCAACAGACGAGGGGGGCGAUCAUUGAUCAGGUUCCGAGCCAUAACUUCUUCAAGGUGGCUGACGCGGCGGAAGAAGACGUACUCCCCCCCACCAGUUCCAGGCGUGGCCAUGGAACCUUUCCACAUCUGAUGGAGAUGGAAGGCGCACGAAGAAGAGAAUGGCAGAAUCGUCGUCUGGGACGACCCGGCAGCUGUAGUCACCGAUGACGUGCUUGACGACGACGCUGGUGGUGAUGAAGGGGUCGAUGUGCUCCUUUGUCACAAAGGCAGCGACGACGUAGUUCUGCGCUCCACCCCAGAUGCGCAACUGCUAGAUGAUGCGGUUGGAGACGAGGACUUGGACUGGUGGUGGUGGUCCGGCGAAAAUGUUCAUGGCGGCCAUGGCCAUGCUCUUCCCCCCCCCCCCCCCCAGCAUCAUCGGAAGAAUUGGUGCUCGUUCGCCUUCAACCGUGAGAAGUGGACUAAGGUGGGUGGGUUGGUCAGCCUACUCAUUCGAACGGGGGGUAGGGGACUUUAUCCUCAUUGAUGUGUUAAGGGAACUGGAGUCAUGGAGCUUGUCAGGUUUCCAGAUCCAGGUGACUAUGCGAUUAUUAAGGCAGGGUGCUACUGUACCAGUAGUAGAGUGGGUUGAAUCAAAUCGUUUGUCUAGAGAGGGUAUAGCGAUAACCAAAGCUAACUGUACUAGAAACUUGAGAUCCUGUAUAGGCAACAGGCCUUAGAAUAGUGUAUUGAACUAUAGGACAGGAACAACCCAUAAUCAUUGACGAAGAAAGCUUGGAAAAGGAUAAAACAUAUUGAAGAGAAGCUUUCUAAAAGGCCAAUAGCCGAUAGCUGAUGUCACUAGCCUUAACUUCUUUAUCUACUUGAAAGCUGAUGAGAGUACGGCUUUCUUAAAUUAAAGGAAGUGUCCGUGCCUAUGAUAUUUCUUUUCUAGUAAAGUAAAGAGCCCUUAGAUUCGCCUUUUUCCGUAAGCCUAAAAGUAAGGGAAGCUCUUAAACUUUAAGACUCAAACCUCCCACUAUUUAAGGAUUGGUUCGAUUCUUUUCCCGAAAGAGGACAGGUUUUAUCCUUAUUUAUGGAUUUCGGCAGACUUCAGGUUUGUUCCUCUUCCCGGGCAUUUUGUCAUUCAAAGAUAUGGUAACCGAACACUGUUGUUAGAAAAACCUUGUCAUCCUUCGGUAGAGCAAAGCAAGGACACAACGCACAAAGCAUUUCCCGACCACGGAUAGGUACCAUGUGUUACCAUUCAUUUGUCACUUAUUUGAUUCUAUCUCAGAGGAAGAGUGUUCGUUCGGGCUAACGAAAGAUCUCAGAGGGACUCUUACUUCUAUCUGCUCGCGCCGUUGCCCGCGCCGGAUCCGCGCCGCCGCCUCGGCCUCGGCCUCGGGCGCCGCUCGCCGUCGCCGGAUCUGCCCUCCGCGCUGCCGCCUCGCGCAGUCGCCCGCGCCGCCGGUGCCGGAUCCGCGCCGCCGCUAGCCGCUCGCCGUCGCCGGGCCCCUCCACACCGCCGCUAGCCGCUCGCCGUCGCUGGGCCCCUCCGCACUGCCGCUAGCCGCUCGCCGUCGCCGGGCCCGUCCGCGCGCCUCGCCUCGCGCGCGCUUGAGGGCACCACGCGCGGCCGGGUGAGAGGGUUGAGGAGGGGAGGGCUGCGGCUGGAGAGAGAGGGGGGUAGGAAACCUAAACAUAUCGUUAUAUACUGGUCGUUCGUAUCGGGCCGAGCUGGGCCUGCGGUGACUCGGUCUUUUUCGUAGGCGGAAGUCCGCCUCCGAAAAUUGAUUUAUAAAUAGGAAUCCUGGCAGACGCCCCCGCCUCCUUAAAUCCCGGCCCCUCCCCGCCGCCUCCAGCACGCAGGCAGCUCCGAGAAAGAAGAGAUCAAUUCACGAGGUAGAGCAGAUGCAAAUCCUCGCUCGCUCGAUCCUUCGACGCUGUGAAAUAGCCACCAGCUCUCCAUCUCCUGCCCCAGCGCCAUGCCUCCGCUCUUUCAUGGCCGCAGCGGCGGCGGCUCCGCCACGCUGCUGGUGGCGGCCACGAGCGCGUGUGCGGGGAGACCUUCCACCCUCGGCACCUCCCGAUCGACCUGUCCGCCGGCCUCUUUGUUGUCAAGCUGCUAAAACUCGCGCUUCCGCUGGUCUGUUCCAGACCAACUUCAGGUUUCGAUUCAAAAUCUUAUAAAUCUUAAUUACUAUUUGACAUUAAGAUUUGGAUCCUGUUUUGAUAUAUACUGCCUUAUUUGAAUCUUGCUAAGAUGUGAUGAUUGACUUCUUCUGCUUUUUGGUGGUGAUAGAUUAUUUCACAAUAAUGGAUCUCGCAACAUGGCCAGCACCACUGGGAUCAAAGGCGAACCAGACAAUGGCGAACAAGAUAAUGGGAGGGGAAUAGGUGCGCAUGACGAUGACGAGAAGAAAUAUGCGAGGAAGAAGAAGAAGGUAACCCGUGAUGGUAUGUUUCUUCUAUGUGGCGAGGGCCCUCCUGGUGGUGAGCUCAGCCAAGACGGAGAAUAUCCGAGUUCGGAAGAUGAGGAGUUCUGUUGCACCUGCUCUGACGAUGUAUACCCUAUGGCUGUACUGCCAUACAGCACGCACCGUGAUGGCUUUAUAUACAGGUUUGGCGGAGGAUGGGGAAAAGACUAUUGUAUUGCAGACCGUGAUGAGAGUAAGUGAUCAGCGGCCCUUUUUUAUUUCUUCUAUUUUUGUAGAAAAAAAUAUAAAGUUAUUAUAGGGUCGAUCGAUUGAUAAAUUCUCUGUAGAAAUAUAUAGGUUUUUGUUCUACAUUGUUAAAAGUUGUAUUAGUUGAAUGCCAGUGUGCUGCCACGUAUACAUGAGAAUCUCAUCAAACAAGCAACUUGGGGUGUUUUAUGGUUAUGCAUUUACAAAAGUAGAACAUGUAGCCAACUCUCGAGUUAUAAGCAAAGUGUAGCUUUGUGCGCAAAGUGUAGCUUGGGCCAUUGUGCGUUGUCUUCAUAUUUAAGUUAACUAUCUCUCAAUAAUUUCUCUGAUCCCCUAGCCCACGUCAUAAGGCAACAUGCAUUUCACAUUACAAUUCACUGUACCUCAUAUAUCCUCCCUAGUGUAUUUAUUGCCUAGAUAACUACUACCUAAUCUAUUUUUCAAUUGCUUUACCCUUGAACUAAUAAAAUGAGGUCACUUCAUCACUCCCUAAUGGCAUUUGUACCUUAUUUCUCUUUAAAAAAACAUGGUUUAUCGAUAUUUUAUCUGAAGAUUUUAUUUCAUAAAGAACUCUGUUAAAAUAAUUUUUAUCCUUUAAAUUACUUUUAUCAUUUGAACUACUUUUCAAUUCACUAAAAACACAACUUCACUUUCUAAUGGCAUUUGUGGCUUUUGCUUCUGUUUAUGAAAAACCACAUUGUACAUUUGAAAUUUUAUGACGUGGCAAAGGCUUCAUGGCCACAAUUUCAAGGAUAUCAGCAUGUUUUUGUAUCAAGGGUUUAAACAUGUUUAAGAUCCUCUCAACCUGUGUGCAAAUAAGGAAAAUUAUGAAAUAUCCUAUAACAUAGAGCAUGGUGUCCUCAAACACCAAACUAAACUUCAACUCCACAAAGACCUGUAGAAAGAGACUUAAAAGGGGGCCAAAUUUCUUCAAGGGGAACCAUAACCCUAUUUUUCAUUCGUGAGGUAAUUUGAACAAAAAAUAGUUAUUCGCUAGUUCCUCCUUUUAUAAAAUGUUUCGAUACUACUCUCUUUUUUUAAUGGUGAAGUUUUUGAGGUGGCAAGAUUCCUAGCAAAAAACAUAUAUCUUUUGUACCUAGGCAAAAAGAAAUGUUUCUUGUGCUCAUGGAUAGUAUUCUUUUUUACAAUAUUAAUGUUCAUUAACAAUAUUUCUCGUGUUUUAUGAAGCUCGGUGCGAUGCAAUGAUGUUAUCCAAUCCCAAAGAGUGCAUGUUCUCUGGUGCAACUUGUUAUCAGCAUCGUCCAGGUCGCAUGUUGCAAAUUUUUUCUUUAAAGUUGGCUAAAUGUCAAGUGGCGGAGGGUGGCCCAGUAGAGUUGUAUGGGUACAUAGCUGCAAGGGACAUUCUGGAUCCGUUGCUUAAUUAUGUCGUCAAUGUUAACAGGGAUGAUCCCAUCCUUGUGGAACAGGUACAUACCCACACUUAUCUGCAAUUAUUUCACAUUAUUGUAUAUUCUUCUGAUCAUCUCAUAAUAAUGGGCAAACUUUUCACUUUCGUAGAACUGAUUUACGUAAUAUAUUGCGAAUGUUGUUCCAAUUUUUCUAUUGAUUUACGUAAUAGAUGUAAUGAUGUAGUUUCAGGUACUGAAAUAUAAUAUCAAACAAGGGUAUAUUCAUAAAGUUCUAAAAAAAAGUAGAGGUACGUUCACAAGGGUAAAAUUGUCUUCUUUGACACCGUUAUGUAUUGUUCACGGAGUAGUGGUAAAAUGAGGCUUCAUUUUCAAACAGUAAGGGUAAAAAUACAAAGUGAAAGAAAGUGGGGGUAAAAAUCGCAAUUGGGGUUCAAAACAGAGGCUAGAACGCAGUAGCCCCAUCUUCAAACGGUUUUGAAAUCGGACUUAUGGUUCCCGAGAUAUUGUAUUUUUUUAUUGGAUUGGGUAAAGAUUCCCUACAUGCAGCCAUGCAUGCAUCCGUGAGGGUGGAGUGAGUGUGCGACUACCCAUGCAUGCGUGCAGGACACGGGCGCGCCAGAUGCAGGGCGAGUUGCUGGCUCGUGGACCUGAAGGCCGACGGGGUCUGUGCAUUUGGGUUCAAAAUGCACCUUGCUAAUAUGUUCUAUGAUUAUUUACCUUUUCAGAAACAUCUAGUGUUUUCUGCAAAAAUAUGCUUCCAUUUGAUUUUUAGUAAUAUGUUUAGAUGCAACAAGUAAUACUUUUGGUUGUGUAUGCCACUACUAUACCAAUGCAAGUGUUAUGUUGGGAAUAAUUCACUACAAGAGUUGACCUAAAUUAUGAAAGUAAUAAGUGAGUAUGACAUGCUCUAAACAAGGUGAAAUGGAACAGUUUUGAACUGUUCCAUAGAACCAAGCAAUAGCCCUCGGUUGGUAGAGCUAGCUGUUGAGAAACUGUCCAUCCUAGUGCUUAGUGUGUGAGUAUCUCCACAAAUCGUUCUGAUCAUAUGUCUUCUAUCUUCCCCGUCCCCCUCUCUUCUUCUGCAAAGAGACAUCUUCUCUUCCUUUCGCUGAAUUAUUGUAUUUUUACUAAGUACACCGCAAAAAAUUAUGUUCUUCGCAAAAAAAUGGUUUUAACUUGUGCACAUCUUGACCAUCAAUAACUUUCAAUAUUCCUUUAGCAUAGUAUUGUUUCAAGUGGAACAUUACAAGGGAGGUUUUAAUCUUUAGACUAUCUUUGCUUUUGUAUGGCGGGCUACUAAAUACCACCAUCUUUGUAGGGUUCCCUCAUUGAAAUAACUGGCCCUAAGCGAGGGAUCGAGUUGAAUUAUGCUACUCUAAUUGAAUAUGACAUGAGGAUCAAGACAGGAAAGCAAGAAAAGGAUGAUCUGCAGCUCAUUGACGGCGUAUCACUUAUAGAUGAGCUAAGCACAUAUUAUAUUAGGGAACCAUUCACAAGACGUAUGCAUGGUGAUUGUGGAGCAGUUGACAUAACUUUAGUAUGUGUUAGCGAUGCAGUUGAGGCGACGGUGGAAGUCGUGGUAUCAGAAGUGCGGAGCAAUUUCAGUUUGUGUGUCGGCUGUUUCACCAGUGGGUUAGAUCAAGAAAUCAGGCUCUUUGAUGGUACCAUCAGUGAGUCGCGUGGCUUAAGGAGGUCUGUUGUUGCAGUAGCGAUGGAUACUUGCAUAGAUGUGAAGCUCAGGGUAGGUUCAGGCGAUAAAGAUGCGGAACAUUGCUGUACCUUCAAGGCGACCAAUCAUGGAUACACUAGCCAACUGGUAAAAGUCAAGUUUGCCAUAAUCUUGGUGAAGGUGACUUGGUCGACGUUGUCUAUGUUGCCUUAGGCUAUCUCCAACCGUCGUUCUCUAUAUCCUUCUUUAUAUCCGUCAUUUAUAGACUUCUCUACAAGAUUCUCUCCUCUAUAUCUUAUUUCUCUCCAACAACGUUCUCUAAAUCUCGUUCUCUAUACAUUAAAUCCUAUAUUAGAAACGUAUUUUGUUCUAAAUUUUUGUACGUACUUAUUUAUCAUACCUCAAAUGCUAUGGACAUAUUUUAUUUUUAUUUAAUCCAGUGUUUAAAACGUAAAGAAAAAGUAGAGAAGAGGAGAGAGAAUCUCUAUAUAUAGAGAGGAAACCUGUAGCGUUCUCUAUUUUAGAGGACUAUUUAGAGAACGCUGUUGUAGCAUAUAGAGAACGGAAUCAUCUCUAUAUAUAAGGUAGAGAACGGUUUAGAGUCUCCCGUUGGAGACAGCAAUCCGUGUACGUAGACAUCCUCAAUGCAUGCAAUAUUCUUAGCUCUUGCUAUAACACAGCAUUACAGUACAUAUUUACUUGGUGAUUUUUGGUCUGGACACAUUACUAAUGUAUAUAUGUGGUAUGUAUUUGACGAUUUUUUUUUCUUUCUUAUCUGCAUCCCAUCCCCCAGUCUGAUGCGCCUUUGAAGAAGGCCGUCUUGGCAGUACAAUUUAAACGGGAGCCUUCUGGAUCCGGUCUGCUAAACCUCUACAGAUGUGUUGGUGAAGUGUGCACUGUACACCUGGCGGGCGGACUGGACGAAACGUGCAUCUAAUUAAUUAACUUUGUUCUUGUGAACAGUGACCUCAUGCUCGAAUAGUUUAUGAUGAACGAUCUCGAACUCGUCCUGCUGCUCUCUUCGUCAUGUACGUGGGAGUGGAUCCACACACGUAUAAACACAGCUAGUACCGAAAAAAUAAAAGAAGCAUUAUUAUGCAGCAAGUGUUGAUUGUGUUUCAUAAAAAAAAUAUUUGGUUGAUUGUACGUUACCACGAGUCAAUACUCAAUACAAGGUGCUAAAUUGCACUGUGCACCCACGUACGGGAGACAAUCACACAAAUUUGCACAGAAUCGAGGCCUGUCUCCUCCGAUAUGUUGCACACCGCCACCGUCGCUCCAGCCGCGACAUGCUCCAUUCAUGGCGGAUCAGUGUAGUUUCUCGCGAUGAUGCCAAAGUUGGCGCUUUAGGGUCUGGUUGGAUCUAUGGUGUUAAAUUUGAGCACCGGCACCUUGAAAAUGGAGGACUAAAAUGUAGCACCCCACCUAUUUAGAUCUAUGUGCUAAACUUUAUCAUUGGUUGCAAAAAAAUAUAUGUUUGGCCCCCCAUUAUUGUCACUUUUCCCUUUCCCUCCCUCUUCCCGCCAGCAAUAAUGAGAGACAGGGGUGUCUUUUGGUUACAACAACACGCUUUUAGCACUCCUUAGAGCAACUCUAACCAACACCCUUUCUGACCUCCUACUCUGCAUUUAGGAGAGAGAAAGAAAAAAAUAACUUCAAUGGAACUCCUAUCUUGUUCCUAAACUUGAGAGGUCUCUCGUUCGUCGGUCUCGCCCUCCUACUUCGAGGAAUAGAAUGAAAGAGACUCAUCCUUUGACAGGGCUGUUGCAGAGAGGGUUGUUGGAGACCAUUGUCAAGUAGGAGAGAAAUGGAUAGAUGAAAUAGGGGGCUAAAAGUAGGAGGUGAGUUGGAGUUACUCUAAGGAGCUAAAGGAUUCAAGGAUGCUAAAUUGUAGCACUGCACUUUUAGCCAAUCUAUUUGCAUACAUAAAGUGAUAAAAGUGACUAAUAUUUGAAUGCUAAUUUUUAGCACCAUGGAUCUAAAUAAAGCCUAACGAGGAAAGAGGAGAAAACAAGAAGAAACCGUUUCUCAUGCAGGAAACGAUGUUGGCUCUACGUCCAACGACGACGGAAGAAACGGCCGCGCACGCGAUGGCCACGCUCUCGUUUCGUCCCCGCGCGUUUUCUGGGCCCCACCGCGUCCACCCCCGACGGCGCCGCUCUCCAUGCCGGCGACCUCACCGCACCGGCGAGACCUCGACGGCCCACCUCACUACGCCGCCUGAACCUGGCCACCGGCGAUGGGCAGCUCAUCGCCGGACUGGAUCCGGCACAAGGGGGCGGGAAGAGGAGGCCGUCGCAGCCGCCGCGCCGUUCACCGUUGCGCUGCUCCGCCGGACGAAAUCGGCGCCGUGCACCACUCAAAGCGCGGCAGUGGAAACUCGAUGCCACUGCCGCGCUGCUCGAUGUCAACAUCUGUUGCAAUAGCAGACGCUACCUGCGCCGUCCCCACGGAUGGAUAGCUUGCUCGAUGAGAUGUACCGCUCAAGGAUCAAAUGACCAUCUCUCUGUCCGCGAAUCCAUGCAUCAAAUAAUCUUGUUAACGAACUAUGAUAUGCUUGGUGUCGUGAAGGAACUGGGAGCUGAUUCGCUCGGAUGAGCUUCUGCUUCUUCCGAUUUGAAAAUGGGAGUGCUUUUCCUCCAUGGAUUGCUCCACUCUGUGUAUUAGAUUUGGAAGGAGCAAGAAAGGCAAGAACCGCUGUGGUGCGAAGGGGAUUUGGUGCUCGGAUUUGACAGUGAUGGAAAUCGAGUGGUGGAUUUGGCCCUCUUCCCUUGCGCAGCUCGCCGCCGCGCGCUUGCGCUAGGAUGGUGGGUCUGCAGAGAGAACACGAGAGACAAAUUUAACAGGGGCCACGUGAAAGAAACUAUGGAUGGUGCGGUAUAGUUUCCAGAGUGGUCUUUACUGACGUAACAUUAUAGACACUACUCAUUAACACGGUAUGGGUUUCAGGAUGGUUGGAAAAAAAGAACCGUUAGAUCUAGUGGUGGUAAGGUAGGUGGUACCGGGAGGUACCUAAGAAAAGUACCAACUAUUUUUUUUUAUUAACGAAAAGGGUAAAUAGGUAAUUUUACAAGAGAAGUAUUAUACGUAUGGCCCUAGUACAACCGGAUUUUUUUGGUUCGUCCUCGCGAUUCAUCGCUCCGGCCUCCCCUCUGCUCGCGCUUUCCUCACCGCGGCUCCACGCUCCGGCCUACCCUCUGCUCGCGCUUCCCUCCCCGCGGCUCCAACAAAGCGCCCCAAAAUGGUUCCCCGCCGACGCGGAAUCGAGAUCCGUGGCCGGUGGUUGGAGGCCUGUCCGGCGGUCUGCGGGAGGAAGCUAGUGGGGGCACGCCGUCGAGCUCCGGGAGCUGGACGCUCUGGCCGGUGGCGAAGUUCAGGAAGCGGCGUCGGUGGCUUGCGGGGCCGGCGGCGUGACCUCGCAAGAUCCACCGGCCCGGCUCAGGAUGCUGAGGUCAAGGAGCGACGACGAUGGCGGCUUCAGCUUGGCAACACCGCGGGAACCCGGAGCAGACGCGGCGCAGGCAUGGUCUACCUACCUCCACCGACAGGUCAGCCUGCUUUAGCAAGCCACACUGAACACCUCGUUCAUCAAGAUCCAUCUUCCCUCCGCGCGGCCCCUGCAGGUCUGGUUCAUCCACGUCCACGGGAGUCCCAGCAGGUCUGGUUCAUCACACGACCACGGCAGUUCCUGCAGUUCAGGGUACGUACCUCAUCGUCUUCAUCAAGAGGUUUUCCCUCACCCUCAUCGAGUUCCCUUUUCCUACCAAUUUGUAAUUGCCCAUCUGUUAAGAUUGUUCAUAUCAUUGGAAUGGUUCAGGGAUCAUGGACAGGGGUGUUCAUAUGGUUCGUGAGGAUUUUGACCGCCAAGUGCUGCAGCAGCGGGAAAGCAUGGACCACAGACUCAAGACAAAUCGUGAAGAUAUAGAUCGCAAGGUCCAGACCCAACGUGCAAGCGCCAACCUGCGAAUCCAGGAAGAGCGUGCGGAGAUGGACAAGUUAUUGUUCCAGGAGCGCCAAAACAUGGAUGAGCGCCUGAAGCAUGAGCCAGACAUUAUGGAUCGGAUGUUGAAUGCAGAGCGCUAUGAGAUUGAUUGCAUGAUAGAGCGCGAACGAGUCCAUAUGGAUUUAGGCCUUGUUUAGAUCCAAAAUUUAAAAUUCCAAAAGAAUAUUGCGGUACCUGUAUGGAGAAUUAAAUCUAGACGAAAUAAAAAACUAAUUGCACAGUUUGCUUGUAAAUUGCGAGACGAAUCUAAUGAACCUAAUUAGGCUGUGAUUAGACACCAAAUUGCUACAGUAAAGCUACAGUAAACAUAUGCUAAUGACGGAUUGAUUAGGCUCAUUAGAUUCGUCUCGUAGUUUACAGAUGAGUUCUGUAUUUAGUUUUGUGAUUAGUCUAUGUGUAAUACAUCAAAUGUGAAAAAAUUCUCUUUCAAAAACUUUACACGGUGCAUCUAAACGAGACCUUAGAGAAAAUGAAGUCCCGUGCAAAGAUGGACAGGAAGAUGCAGCAGGAAAAGGUACUAAGCAGAUAUGGUAUUUUUUUAAUAUUAUUUUUCAUUCUGUAACAAAAAAACAUCUUACCUAUUUGUGCUCAUUGCAGACUACAAUCGAACACCUAGGACACUACAUCACCUCACCUACAACAGCUUCAGAAGGACACUACAGCACCUCACCUACAGCAGGAAGACUCCGCAUAUUCACCCCCGGUACUUCUACGAGAGUUAUGUUAGAUCUUUUUUACAUAAUCUUGAAUACUUUAUCCUUCUGAACACUCUGAACUAUAUGCAGGCUGUUGUCAUGGAAUUUAGAGUCCAUGUGCGGCGCGGAAUUCCAUUCCAACUAAAAGAAUCAGAGAAAAGAAGGUUGGGCUCCAUGACAUUUGUUGAACCUCUCAAAGUCGAGUGGAAGCCUAUGGUGGACAAUUUGGAAUGUCACGAUACAAAGGGACAACUAAUCUGUACUACCUCAUCCCUGCUACAGAUGGGUUGGUGUUGAUGGAGGGUCCUGCACAAGUAGAACGACUGUUGCAGGAUCAAGAAGGUAGGAAAAUUGGUGAUCUUUACAUCGUCAAACAUGACGACAGUGAUGAAGAUUCGGCCAGCGCAUAUUCCUUCCACGUGGAUUAAAUUGAUCAAUUAGGGAGUCUAGAGUUAUUUCCUUCAAUUUCAGUUUCAAUAAAGAAUUGCAUUGCAAGAACUUGGAACUUGCACAAUUGUAUCACUUUAACCAUUGAUUAGAUUCAUUUAGUUUGUUCUUCCACAAGGUCUCUGCGAUUCUAUUAAAAUUUUUCCUCAUCCGUUUCUCAAUGCCUAAAUAGAUGUUUUCUAGAUUACAUAUGUUGUGGGCUGAAAAAUAAACAAAAAUACAAUCACACAAUCACAUUCGGUAGAGGCUCACGGAGUCUUUAAAAAGAACACCUGGUCUUCAUUUGGCCAAUUCAUGAACAGAAAAUUGUAUUCGCUGUCGCUGAAUUCCGUCCUAGUCCUUGUUGCCUGACGCCCUGUUCUCCUUGUCUGACUAGUUUACUCGAUCAAGUUUGGGAGAUUGCAAAUAACGGAAAGAGAUUCUUAGGAAAGCUAAAUGCUCAGCAAGUUCCAUAUACACAAUGUAUUUAAAAAAAAUUCAUGUACUCUCCAAAACAUAGGGAAAGAGAUUCUCAGGAAAGCUAAAUGCUCCCCAUGUUUUUAGUUUCGAAAAUAAAAGGCCCUCUCUGCUCAUGCUGUUACAAUUGAUAAGUUGUCUCAAUCCAAUCCCCUACAACAGGGCAGAGAUGGGACUGACUCCUAGUUACAACAUUACAUGAGCCCGCAAAUCACAUCAUAGAUUUCUUCCAUGGUCUUAUAUAAUAGAAAAUAGUAACCGCAGCAUCGUAUAUAAUAGAAAAGAGUAAACGCUGACAUCUUAACAGGGCUAAAGAUAGAUAGCACAAACGAAUAUGACCAACUAGUCAGUAUAAACUUAAAAUAUUCAGAUACUAUAAUAAACUGAAUCAAACAUUCUAGAACACAAGAUCCUGGUCUGCAGUGCUAAACUCUGAUGAACCAGUUAUCAUCACCCCAACCGCGUCAUUGAAACACACUUGUUAUAGAACCGGAAAACUUCAUCUUCGCUACCAAACACCUUGCUGACAAUCUCAUAGUACUCCGAUAGUGCCUCUGUGCUUAAAUCAGCCAUGUCUUCCUGCUUAUGACACAUAAAUUAGCAAUAUAAUUGCCAAAGCAUACAACCAGGUGCAGCGGCCAACACAAUUGACAAGUAAAUUGAGAAGUACAAUUAUUUCAUCCAAUAUGGUCUAAUUGCCGUAUAAAACAAACUUUUGGAGCCUAUGUUCUGCACUUUGGUUAUAUACAACUCUAUGCUUUCUUCAGUAUCAUAAAUAUUCGUAAUACAUAUUCAUAUAAACCAAGUAGGUCCAAUGUAGUGACAUACACAGAUAUACAAAGUUGAAUAGUUGAUCAUUCGUCUAGUAUUGACAGCAUUAAUUGGCAAUUGGAGAAAAAUGAAGUACACAAUCAGCCUACUAGAACUGUGUCCUCUGAUCAAGGGUUUCAGAUAGAGGAAACUAGUAGGCAAAAUAAUGUUGAGUACUAUAACCUGACUGUUUUAUCAUUGCUUCCUAAUUGACCUUGUCUCCACAUUCAAUUAAAUUCAAACUACAUGCUUACACAGUAAGUAUGUCAAAAUACAAUCAGUGCCUCAUUUAUCUAACCUCUUACCAAAUCUGCUAUAUUGUUUUGUACAGAAAAUUACAUGCUUCUUACUGAAACCUACUUUUGGUGUUCUCACAUUAAACCCUUUCUUAGAUGCAUAUUUCGAUGUUACUUGCUGAAAAAAAUGGUGAAUAUACAAAUAUGCAAGGAAUUUAGUUCAGGCACAAACCAGUCAAAAUAUAUAUUAACGAAAACUACUAUGUCAGCACACAUAUUAAUGGUAACUUCGCCAAUUCAGCAGCAGUGAAGGCCUAGUCACUUACUUAUUCCUCUCUCUCCCCUUGGUCCUCUGAGAUCUCUUCUACACUACCCUUGUAUUCCUUGCUGUCCAAUAACAUAUUCAGCAGAAAGAGCAACAUGACCAUAAAGACUGUAUCAAAAAAAAAACAUGACCAUAAAGACUGGUAUAAACCAUAAAAGAAGGCAGCAAAUGGCCAAUGUGAUAGACGAUCUAGAUGGAGCAGCAUACUGAAAAUUUGGGGUUCAUCAGACCUAAUUCACAAUUUCCUUGGUAGCAACAAUUUACAAAACAAUAAAACUGUCCAAAGAGCCUCUCUGUCUAUACCAUUAGAGUAUCUUGGUAAAAGCCAAAUAACCACUAUGUCUCCACAUUUCAAUCAUUACAUAUCUUUACAUCAUAUCCUAAUAGUAAACUCACAUCUCUUAGCUAAAUAAACUAUAUUAAUCAUUCCUCAUUGAUAUAGCAAAAAAAAAGAUACAACCUAGUAAUGUUGUUAACUACAAAAUUAAUACACUAUUACCUCAACAUACGCUUAGUUGAACAUAAAGUCUCACCUGAUCAAUGCAUCUCUGGUUGUUCCUAUGGCACCCUGCAAUGCACCAGGAGCUAGAGGAACCUGCAUAGAUGGAGGGAGGAUUGUUGUAGUAUAUGCGAUAACGUGAGCAUAAAUAAUAUUCCAGCAAUAACAGUAUGAGGAGAAUUCCACAUGUAUUCUUCAAACAUGAUCUUACUAGUAUUGAAUAAAAAUACAUCAUGUAAAACUGAAAUACAAGUGUAAAACCAAAUCUGUACACAAGAAUAUGAUCUAGUCAUGGCUCUCAGUUAAACCGAUCUCUGCUUUCUAAUUAGUUUCUGACAGAAAGAACCUCUUGGGCAAAAGUACUAUUAGUCCAGGACCCUGAAGACACUCUAUAAAAGGACCUUCUUUUCUUCUGCCUUACAGAUCAGAGAACGUAAUCCCAGUACUGAAUCAAAUUGACAGGAACAAGAGUUUCUCAGUUGUAUCAACUAAGACAUCACCAGGUUCUAGUACACAAUAACAACAGUACAGAGACUGACCACAACAAUAUGGCACAAGUCGACAAGGUUCAGACUAGAGUACUCAAAGAAUUUUGCCCAAUUUCAGAGCAGACUGACAGAACUUAAACUAUUAUCAAAAGCAGCACAACUAAACUAUCCAGAUUGCUGAAGGGAAUGUCAAUACUCACAGAACAAUACACCCAAGCGAAUCGAUGAUCGAGGCAAGGCACGGCUCACCAGCCGCUGUCCCAGAAAUCCUAUUCGCCGCCGUUGUAGCCAGCAUGGAAGACGGAGAUACAGAGCCUCACCGCACCGCGUCGGCGCGUGCGGGCGAGCCUAGGCGUCGCAACACCAGUCACCAACACCUCCUUCCAAUGGUCAAUGCACUAACACUUACUCAACUGAGUCAGCUCAAGUGUGCACUCUCCGGCCAAAAGAAGAAGAACGAGAGAGGAGGAGAUCAAUGGGGCCAGCAGCGGCAUGUUGGGCGGCCAUGGAGGGAGGAGGCGCCGGGGUUGCGGUCGCACAGAGGAGGCAGCAACAGGCGGAGGGGGCCGGCGGGUCCUGCUACACCGGAUCAAAGGGGCCGGCAGCGGCGGUUGGGCGGCCACGGAGGGAGGCGGCGGCGGGGUUCCGGUCGCGCAAAGGAGGCUGCACGAGGCGGAGGGAUGACCUGCACUACCGGGGAUGGGCGCGGUCACACGGAGGAGGCGGUGGGGUGUCAGGCAACAAGCUACCUGGAUGUUCUGUUCGUCAGUUUCGUCAGAAGAACUCAUGCAAACAGCACAAGUGGAAGUCGGUGUCUCCGUGUACCGCUUCAUCGGCUUCUGUACGCACGUCGAUUCACCAUCCGACGGCCGGCGGCAAGCGAUGACGCGCUACAGUGCAUUAACUUCAUUUUCAUUAGUGUUUGCUGUAAACUCUGAUUACCUACUGCUAAUUAGAACCUUAAUAUAAUCACCCGCCAUCUGUUAAAGGCCAGGUCGAGGGAGCAGGUGGGGUUAUCGGGAAGAAGAACACUGAAACCCUAGGCUAGUUGAUAGGUGUAGCUCGCCGCCACCUGAUAAGUCCCUCGCUGUAUCGGAUUUCUGAAUAUUCUAUGCAGUUAUCUCCUUGCCUCCGAAUCGAUCGGUGUUUCUUGUUCCUCAGUUCUUUUGUUCUAGCUUAGUUAUCCUAUUGCUGUAGCGAGUUCCUCACAAUUGGUACUCAGAGCCACGAUUUCCUUGGCGAAUUUCUUCUUCCAGAGCCCAAUUCCUUGGAUCAAGUCCGAUCGCCGUGGUGGUUUCGGAGUUGCGGCUCACCCGCGUGAAAUCCCUCCCAUCCCACCCCAAUUCGUGGAAUACACCCAAAACUUCCCUGAAAAUCAGCGGAGGAAUUGGUUGAGGCGAGGGUUGUUGGACACCUGUUCCAGUGUAAAAUUCCGAGAGCCAAGAAACCAGUUCGGAUCCGUGGUGGCGACAGCGGAAGGUUGACGUUGAGAAGGGUUGCAGAGCAACUCUCUGUGUAAAAUUCCGGACUCAAUUCCUCAACCUUGGUGGCGGUAGACAAUACUUGCAGAUCUUGAAGGGGAUAGCUUGUCUCAAACCGUAUUUGCAAGUCCAAGAUGACGGUGAAUCCGACAGAUGGAGAAGUGGAAGAAUAUGCCACGGCUACUGAGGUAGAUGGCAUCAGAAGAACCCUGGACAAAUUCAUGAAGAAACAAGAUGAACGGCAUGACGCUCUGAAGGGGACAUUGGAUAAGCUCCUACUUUCCUUGAACAAGCUCACUGCACAGACUACGGUUCCUCCUCCUGAAGAUAUGGGAUCCAAUACCAAGGGUAAGACCAUUCCCAUCACUAAUUUCUCUAAGGCAGGACCUUCCAUUCCACAAAAUAGCCAGCACAUUAACAAGUCCCUGAAUUUCGGUAACUAUCAACAAGAAAGUCAGAAGCACUACUACACACCCCCACACUCUACUAAAGCUCAAAUCAUGUCCACUGGAGGGCCUGAAUGGUCGACUGGGGGCAACAAUUUUGUGGAUUUAGAAUAUGAUUUUGGAGAUUGUCCUUGGGAUGAACAAGAGCUGGAAUUUUUUUAUGAAAUGGCUAAUAGAGAGCAGGACACCAUGGUUGAUCACACCGCUGCCUUCCCUCCCAAACAGACAAACAACAACAUGUUCAAUCCCCCAAGGCAUAUCAGAAACAUCCCUCAUCCUGAAGGCCACUUCAUGCAAAAGCCACAGGCACCUCCAUUUUCUCAGCACUUACUUCACCAAUACAGGAUGGUGGCAAAAGGGUCAAAACUGUCUUUCCUUGAAUUUGAUGGAUCUGAUCCUGAUGGGUGGAUUAGAAAGGCUGAAAUUUUUUUUGAGAUGGUAACUGUCCGUACUGCAGAGAGAGUCAAAAUAGCUGUCAUGUAUAUGAAAGGAAAAGCAGAAUUUUGGUGGAGGGGUACAGCUUGCAAUUCUGCUACAUUACCUUGGCACCAAUUUUGCAGAAUGCUGGGAGACAGAUUUAAUGAGGUCUCCACUUAUGAAGUGGUGGGUCAGUUUCACAACUUGAGACAAAAUGCGUCAGUGUCUGAAUAUAUUGAGAAAUUUGAAGAAUAUAUGGGUCUGGUCAAAAGAGAUAAUCCAUCUCUUCAAGAAGAGUAUUUCAUCUAUAGUUUUGUCACAAAGACCAUAUCCAACAUCAUUUUCAGUGCCACAAACCAAGCACCCUUACACAAGCUUUCUGGUUUGCCAAGAGACUUGAACAGGCCAAUCCACAACAUAGGAAAUUCAAUACCUUCAACCCCAUGAACAGAAUUUCAAAACCUUGGGUAAAGGAACAAAAACCUGUGGAUGUUAAAGAUCCACCAGCCAAUAACAUUGCUGAGUUGAAAGCUGCAGGCAAAUGUUUUGAGUGUAGGGAGCUGUGGAGCCCUGGACAUGCCAAGGUAUGUAAAGCAAAGCAGACCUUCUCCAUGAUUCUAGUAGAGAAUUCUAAAGGUAAAGAAGAAAUUGCUGUGGUUGAUGAUAGCACACAAUCUGAAGAUGGUGAAUACUUUGAUGCACAACCUGCCUCAGUGGUGCAAGUUUCAUUACAUGCUUUGUGUGGUACCAUGCCUUUGGCCCACCCAUUCACACUAAAAUUGCAUAUUGGAAACAGUUCAGCAAUAGCAUUAGUUGACAGUGGCAGUGACAUAUCAUUCAUCAGUGCCAAAUUUGCCACUAGAAACAAUUGCAAGAUUUCUGCCACUUCACCCAUUCAAGUGGCUGCUGCCAAUGGCUCCAAUAGAAUCAGUGAAUCAGCUUGUUUGGCUUGUCAGUAUCAGAUCCAAGGACACACUUUCAGUUCUGACAUCAGACUCUUGGAAGUCCAGGGAUAUGAUAUAAUAUCGGGAGCAGAUUGGAUAUAUACCCACAGUCCUUUAGGCUUGGAUCUUAAAACUAGACAGUUGUCAGUAACAAAAUAUGGAGAACAAGUUGUCACCUUCAUAGAUGAAUCAGUACCAGACAAGAAUCUGAUGAUAGGUGCAAGAAAGCUAUGUCAGCUGUUAAAGAAGAAAGCAUUCUGUAAUGUGGUUGUCCUUAACAACAGUGACCUAAAACAAACAAAACCUUCUCCUCCCAAAAUUCCAGAAACAAUCCAGGUGCUGCUACAAGAAUUUGGUGAUGUUUUUGUGGAACCCAAGGACUUGCCCCCAAAGUGACAAGUUGAUCAUGCUAUUGCUCUCAUAGAUUAAACCAAGAUUGUCAACCAAAGACCUUACAGGCUGCCUUUCCAUCAGAAAAAUGCUUUGGAGGACUUGAUCAAGCGGAUGUUGCAAUCUCAGAUGAUCAAACCAAGCAUCAGCCCCUACUCAUCACCUGGCAUUCUGGUGAAGAAAAAAGAUGGUACAUGGUGACUAUGUAUGGACUAUAGACAGCUAAAUUCCAACACUGUCAAAAACAAAUACCCAAUUCCAAUAAUCGAGGAUUUAUUGGAUGAACUCUUUGGUGCUGAGAUAUUCUCCAAAAUUGAUCUCAGGUCUGGAUACCACCAGAUAAGAAUGAAAGAGGAAGACAUACCAAAAACAGCUUUCUCAACUCAUAUGGGUCAUUUUGAAUAUGUGGUGUUGCCUUUUGGACUAACAAAUGCACCUGCUACUUUCCAAUUCCUUAUGAACUCUGUGUUGGCACAAUUUUUAAGGAAAUUUGCAUUGGUCUUCUUUGAUGACAUAUUAAUAAACAAUUUCUCUCUACAAGAUCAUGUCGAGCAUUUGAGAUCUGUGCUGGAAGUUCUGAGACUCCACAAGCUUUAUGCUAAAAUGAGCAAGUGUACUUUUGCACAAAAAGAAAUAGAAUAUUUGGGUCAUAUCAUCACCAAACAAGGAGUGGCAACAGACCCUAGCAAGCUGAGCAUUAUACAGAAUUGGCCUUCACCUACCUCAAUAACACAGCUAAUGAAACGAACCGGAUUCCCGAAUCGAGGAAUCCGACUCCCUGUACCAUCGUGAUAGUCCCUGGAUUAAGCGCUAUCACAUACAGAACUCAUUUCAGGCAUAAUAUCACAGUCAUACUUUGCAUAAGGUCAAACACGGGUUUAAUUAUUACAUAAAUCCAAAGGAUCUGUAGUACGGAAUUUAUUACAAGCCUCUCGGCUAGGACGAACAAGCAGAAGGCGCAAAGCGGUAGCUAGGUUUUCGGCCGUCCUUCAUCUUCGGGAACCUUCUCCACAGGCGACUUGAGCGUAGCUCGGGCCUCAGUCGUACCAACCGUCAUCGUUGGGGUCGAACUCCGGAUCGGAUCCUGCAUCGUACCAGGCUAUCCCCAAGGAAUGGAAUAGGUUCACGUCACCAUCUAAAUGCAAGCUUUAACGUGGUCUAUACUAUGGAUAUAACAAAGCUCAAGAAGUAUAGCUGAGGUUUUCCUAUGCAUGCAAUAUACAUAUACAAGUAUACACAUCUUCUCCCAUUCCCGACUCGGGCCUUUCCGGCAUCCCGGACUCCCGGUCAAUGCACACCUUCCAAAACCACCAAGUCGAUGCAAAAACUCCCUCUCCUCGCAUCUCAACCGCCCCCUGGCAGGAAGUUAUUCUAGAGGGAGGUAGAAAUCUUGAGUAACACUAACUAAUAAGAGCAACAGAGGAGUAGGGAUGUCCAUGACCGAGGACGCGGCUAUACGUAUAGUUUUCACCCUGCAGGGGUUGUACACCUGGACCCACUCGAAUCGACACUAGCCGGGGAUCAGCCGACUAAUAUACGAAACACCGGUCUACUGAAACUGAACUAGGAGCCACGGCACCAUCCGGCUUUCCCGGGUCUUGGGCGCAUCCUCCCACGGGAGGUCGCCCCAGGACUGUGAAGCCUCCCAUGCGUCUCGGGGAACGUGAGGUUAGCACCUCCUUCCCCUGCA
Molecule: long non-coding RNA, 22229 nt
Filed under: Panicum hallii
Lineage: Eukaryota; Viridiplantae; Streptophyta; Magnoliopsida; Poales; Poaceae
Description: long non-coding RNA (PHAL_LNC000461)
Source: RNAcentral